UUGUCACUUGUUUCUCAAAUAAGCACUCAAAUUGAUCACAGAUUUUCCUACUGCUUGGUUCCUCUCUCUGCGAGUUCCAGUAGUAAACUGCUGUUCGGCCAAGAAGCAAUAAUUUCUCGUCCUGGGGCCGUUUCCACUCCAUUGGUAUCCAAAACCCCUCAAACCUACUACUACCUUAGUCUUGAAGGUGUUAGCAUUGGAGACAAGACCGCACAGGCAGGUUCGAGCCAAGGGAAUAUCAUAAUCGAUUCUGGAACAACACUCACAUACCUAGAAUCGAGCUUCUAUAGCAGCUUAGAGACCAUAGUGAAAGACGCCAUUGGAGCAGAUCCAGUGCAAUCUCCUUCAGAAUCAUUUAGCUUGUGUUACGGGUCAGAGACUAACAUCAACGUCCCGGAAAUGGUGUUCCAUUUUAGUGGUGCCGACCUUCGUUUGCAACCUGUCAACACGUUUGCUAAAUUCGAUGACAACUUGGUUUGUAUGCUGAUAGCUCCAACUCCAAGUGACCUUCCCUUAUCUAUAUUUGGAAACUUUGCACAAAUCAAUCUACAGGUGGAGUACGAUCUUGAGAAGUGGACUGUGUCCUUUGUUCCCACAGAUUGUACCAACCAAUAAAUUUGUUAGUUUCCAAUUGCAUGCAUGGCGGCGGCCACGGACUAGAAUAAAUAUCACUAAAUAAAAAUCCCAAACCCCGCUCAGCUUUUUAAAUUCCUCACUACCUUAUAUACUUUUCUUGCUUAAUUGUAAUAUCCAUGUCAGUCCACCGGUGACAUGAAAACAUCUUGCAAGAUGAUAUUAUGGCUAAUUAGUACUGAAACUAAAAGUUUCUGGCUGCUGCAAAAUUUAAUUGCUGAAUUUUUGCUUCAGAUGAAAGACAACAGUUUACAGGCAUAUAUGAGACAUUACCAACAUCUUAUCUUUUUAUUUUUUGGGAUGCCCUGGAAACAAAUACUAACCUUUUCCUGGUUAAACUUACAUGUUAUUUAUGCAUUGUAUAAGAUGCUUUUGAGCACUUCUAUAAUCUUGUUAAAGUCUUUUAACAAAAAUAAAUGAAAGAAAUAAAAAGGAAAUUUCCUUUUGUAACUAAUAAAAUCUAGUCUCUUUGACACGUUCGGGCCCAACUUAGCGAAUUCAAUGGAGCUUGACGAUGGGCCUGGCUAAUCAAUUUCUAUUCAAGCUACCCAGCAAGAUUAGUUAUUCGUUUAUUGAUAAAUAACAUAAAUUUGCCACUUAUGAAGAUGAUAUAAUUAUAUAUAUAAAAGGCUAAACUCUAAAAUUGUUCAAAGUGAUGGGUUCAAAUAGCUUUUUAAAAUAUAUAUUUAAUAUUUUGAUAUAUAAAAAAAUUCAUAUUAAAAUUUAAAGGGUAAACUACAAAAAUAGUCAUCCAACUAUAAAAAAUUUCAUUUUUGGCAUCCAAAAUAAAAUGUUUGUAAUUUAAGCACUUAUGUUACAUAAUUUGAUCAUUUUGAUCAUUCCCAUUAAAAUCACAAAUGACAAGUUUAGGGGGCAGUUAAACAAAUCGAUAUAAUAAAAAAUUUAGCCAUCAACUUUUAUUUAUUGUAUCAAUUUAGUCAUAAUUUUAAAAAAUUAAAUCUCAAAAUUUACAAAUAAUCUCAAUUUGAUUGUAAUUCUAAAAAAUUUCAAAGAAACAAGUUAUUUAUUUGUAUCCAUUUUCAUUGCCGCAGUAUAGUUUGGAGGGUUACGAAAGAAUGCUCAAAUAAAGAAUUAAAAAAGAAGAAAAAACAAUGGAAAUUUUUUAUUACAAUUUUACAUCAUUUGACCAACAUUGUUAUGUAAUGGUAACCAACUUUGUUCAAAUAUCAUUAAACUAAUGAUAUUUUUUUCUCAGAAAUCUUAACCAAAAAUCUAAAUGGUUUUGACGUCAAGCUUCUUCAGUUCCACCUUAGGAACAAUAACAAUGGUAACCCCAUUUUCCAUGGAAGAUUUAACUUGAUCCAUCUUCGCAUUCUUAGGCAACUUGAAUCAUCUUGAGAACUUGCCACUGCUCCGCUCCACGCGACGCUACAUCUCGUUCCGUUAGUAUAACUAAUUAACAGUUAGUUAGUUAUCAGUUGUUAAUAGUUAGUUAGAUGGUUAGUCUGAUAUAAGCCUACUACUAUAAAUAUGAGUACUGUAAGUAUGUUAAUAUGUGUUCAAUAAUAAAAAUACUUCUUUUGAAUAUCAUAACAUGGUAUCAGAUUUUCUUUCUUUUUUGGUAGAUCCUUGAGGGCCUGUGUUCUUAUGGCUUUUCCUACUAGUCCGUCUCCUGUGCAUUCUGAUACGCCUGGAAUGGCUUCUCAUAUCUCUGAAGCUGCUGUUGACAGUUGAUUUGUUGCUGCCAAGAAGAUUAAUAUUUUGUUUGAUGAUACUAAUUACCUGCUAUGGCGUCAGCAGGUGAUUUUGGCUGUUAAAACUCACAAUCUACAACAGUUUCUUGAUUCCAGUACGACUCCCCCUCCUCGACAGGUUCUGAGUGAAGAUGGAAGUCUUCAGGAUAAUCUUGCGUUUUCAAGAUUUCAACAGCAAUAUUUUGCUUUAGCUUAUUGGCUGUUGUCAUCUGUCAGUGCAGCUGUUUUACCGCAUCUCAUUGGAUUGGAGUCUUGUGCCAAAAUAUGGAGUGCAAUUGUUGCUUUGUACGAUAGCAAAACCACCUCUCGAUUGAUGUCUUAUCGUAGAGCUCUCCAUUCUCAGCGGAAAGGUGAGUUGUCCAUGAAAGAUUUCUUGAUGAAAAUUAAAAGCUAUUGUGAUAGUCUUGCUAGCUGUGGUGAGGUAAUUAGUGAUCAAGAGUAUAUCACUGCCAUUCUUAAUGGUUUACCACCGGAUUAUGAAGCAGUUAUUGCUAUUAUUACUGCUAGUCAAGUGCCUUACAGUAUACAAGGAGUAACCACGAUCUUGCUUGAUGCUGAAGCCAGACAAAACGUUAUUGUGCGUGAAACUCCUAGCUCUGCUAAUCUUGUAUCUCAUCAAGAGUCAACCUCGAUGCCUGAGACUGUCAAUGCACCUACCUAUCGUCCCUCAUCAAAUGGUAGAAGUAGAGGGCGUGGUCGCUCAUUUGGAUCCCGUGUACAGUGUCAACUAUGUGGUAAAUCAGGCCAUCUUGUUGAUCGGUGCUAUCAUCGAUUUGAUGCGUCGUAUAAAAAUAUUGGUUCUAGACCUCCUAUGGUUCCUCAAGCAAAUCUUAGUGUGUUUGGACAUGGUGCUACAACUACAUCAUGGCCAACACCUGUACCUGCUGCUUAUGGCCCUAGUCAAAGUCCAUCACCGAGUUGGUUGUGUCCACCUGUCUUAACUAACAAAUGGAAUAACCCGUUUGAUGCAUUUGCUUUAUUACAUGCUGGUAUGUCUCCCAGUGUGUCUUCUACUACAGCUUUAAUGUCGCAAGCCUAUGUUGCAAAUCCUGCAACGGUUGCAGAUAAUAGUGGUAUCCCGACUCUGGGGCUACACAUCAUCUGGUGAACUCAGCAUCAUCCUUAGGUGAACCUUUGGCUUACAACGGUCCAGGUAAAGUGUAUGUGGGCAAUGGUACUGCUCUACCAGUUCUUUCUAUGGGUCAGUCCACAUUGUCUACUUCAUCUCGACCUUUAUAUAUGAAGUCGUUGUUACAUGUGCCUGGUAUUACUAAGAAUUUGCUAUCUGUUUCUAAAUUCACAAAGGAUAAUCAAGUAAUGGUUGAGUUUUAUCCUACUCAGUGUCAGGUUCGUGAUCUCAAGACAAAGCAAGUUCUCCUAAGUGGUUCAGUGCAUGACGGGCUAUACAAGUUGCAUUUAAAGGGUUCGGGUGCACCAAUGACAGCUGAUGGUUCUUCUCAAUGUUUUACUGCUAGUACAAUGGUCCCGUUAACUGUGUGGCAUUCUAGAUUAGGUCAUCCAUGUGAUGUAACUCUCAAGAAGGCCUUAAAUCAUUGUAACAUACAAUUUAAAACUAAUAAAAAUGUUUCUUGUUGUGUUACGUGUCACUUGGGCAAAGAGCGUAAGCAGCCUUUUUCUCAAUCCUUGACUGAUUAUACUACUAUUUUAUAGCUCAUUGUGGCAGAUGUCUGGGGGCCAGCUCCGGUUGUGUCCAAUGGAUUUCGAUAUUAUGUCGCAUUUACUGAUGCUUACUCCAGGCAUACCUGGCUAUAUUUCUUGCAGAAAAAGUCUGAUGUUCUUACAGUAUUCCCACUAUUUCAUCGCCAGGCUGGACGUGUCUUGGGGUGUAAACUUCAAAUUUUACAGACAGAUGGUGGAGGUGAGUUUCGUGCCUUGAAGCAGUAUGUGUCUCAGCAAGGAAUUGUCCAGCGGUUUACCUGCCCGUAUACCUUACAACAAAAUGGUCUUGUUGAGCAUAAUCAUCGACAGAUUAUUGAAGUUGGGUUGUCCAUGUUGGCACAUGCAGCUAUGCCAGUCACAUACUGGAAUGAUGCAUUCAGUAGUGCGGUUUAUUUGAUUAACAAGUUGCCUACGUCUCCCUUGGGCAUUUCACCCUAUGAAAAACUGUUUCAGACUAAACCAAACUACUUGUUCCUUAGAGUAUUUGGUUGUCUCUGUUUUCCCAGUCUUCGGUCAUUUAACACGUCCAAGCUGUAGUAUCGGUCAACGCCGUGCACGUUCUUAGGAUAUUCUCCAAGUUAGAAAGGGUACCGUUGUCAGGUUGCUGAUGGAAGAAUUUAUGUCUCUCGACAUGUCACAUUUCAUGAGCAUGAGUUUCCUUUUUCAACUCUCAACUGUAAAUUGACAGGAGCUAUACCUAAUGCCACUCAAAAGAGUUCUAAGCUUCUCGUGGUACAACCGAAUUCAACAGGUCGAGGAACCAGUGGGGACCGUACUCUUAGGCAAAGUCCGGAUGUCUAGGUGGCUUGUGAUCAAGGUGUCUCGACUUCUAGUCAAAGUCAGAACGUACAAUUGGCUUGUAAUCAAGGUGUCUCAACUGCUAGUCAAAGUUAGGCAGUACAAGUGUCACGUGAACAGGCUGAGUCAAGUUCGUAUGAUUCAAAUUCAUCUAGAUCUACUCGAAGGCACGUGUCUACUGAACUUCAGAAUCUCCCAGUCAACACUCAUGCAAUGACUACUCGUAGCAAAGUUAGAAUUUUUAAACCGAAGGUCUACUUGAGCAAGGUUGAUGGCUUGGUGAAUGACUCACCAACUGAUAUUCAUGAUGCUAUGUAAUAUGAUUGUUGGAGAGGAGCUGUUCAAAAUGAGUUGCAGGCUCUUAUUCGCAACAAGACAUGGGAACUUUGCCAUAUGCCUGCUAAUAGGAAAAUCAUAGGGUGUAAGUGGCUGUUUAAAGUGAAGCAUAAAACUGAUGGGACGAUUGAGAGAUAUAAGGCUAGACUGGUGGCAAAGGGGUUUUCUCAACAUGCAGGUUUUGAUUUUAGAGACACGUUUAGUCCGGUGGUUAAGGCGACUACUAUACGAACAGUUCUUGCAAUGGCAGUUAUAAAGCGCUGGUCCUUAAGGCAAGUUGAUGUGAACAAUGCCUUUCUCAAUGGCAUUUUGACAGAAGAGAUCUAUAUGGCGUAACCACCAGGAUUUGAAGUUGUCAGUGCAAAUGGUCAGAAGCUGGUCUGCCAUUUGACUAAGGCUUUGUAUGGUCUUAAGCAAGCUCCUCGAGCAUGGUUUCAGACUUUGAAACAAUACCUUGUGAAUCAACUUGGUUUUCGAGCAUUACAAGCUUACUCUUCUUUAUUCAUUCGAGGGUCUGCUGAUAAUCUUGUGUUGCUUAUGGUAUACAUGGAUGAUAUAGUGGUGACUGGUAGUUCAGUUGCUGAAAUUGACAAGGUGGUAUGUAAAUUGCAUAAAAAGUUUGCUCUUAAAGAUAUGGGUAGGCUCAAUUAUUUUUUGGGUAUAGAGGUUCACCACACAAGUCAAGGCUUAUGUCUGACUUAGAAGAAAUAUGCUGCAGAAAUUCUUACUAAAACAGACAUGUUGGGUGCGUCAUCUACACCUACUCCUAUGGUGAGUUCUUCGAAACUUGUUGCUUCAAAUGGUGAAUCAUUGUUUGCUGAUAUUCAUUUGUAUCGCAGCACAGUUGGUAUGCUUCAAUAUUUGUGUGUUACACGGCCUAAUAUAGCCUUCUCGGUUAACAAGUUAAGUCAGUACAUGAAUGCUCCGAGUAAGGUUCAUUGGAAGGCUGUUAAGCGAGUUCUACAGUAUCUUAUAGGUACUAUGAGUCAUGGGUUGUGCUUCAAACCAUGGCAGUUUCAGUUAGUCUGCUAUUCUGAUACCGACUAGGCCGCCUCUAUUGAUGAUAGAAGGUCUACUUCUGGGUAUGUAGUUUACUUGGGACAAAAUCCGGUUGCCUGGUGCUCCAAGAAGCAAGCAGUGGUCUCCAGGUCUUCAUCUGAAGCUGAGUAUCGAAGCUUGGCAAAUUGUGUGUCAGAGUUACUUUGGGUUAAACAGCUGUUAGAUGAGAUUGGCAUGGAAGUCUGUCAGGUACCAGUUGUGUGGUGUGAUAAUACUUCUACCGUUAGCAUGGCUGCAAAUCCAACUCACCAUGCUCGAAUAAAACAUGUGGAGAUUGAUCACCACUUCAUUCGAGAAAAAGUUCUGGAUGGUACUUUUCAGGUUCGUUUUGUUCCAUCAGCAAGUCAAAUUGCUGAUGUUCUCACCAAGGCUGUUCCACCGAAGAAGUUUGCUGAGUUUCGACAAAGUCUGCAAGUUUGUACUACUAAUGAAUGUUUUUCAAACAAAGAGAACUAGGAGAAUGUUAGUAAACUAAUUAACAGUUAGUUAUCAGUUGUUAAUAGUUAGUUAGAUGGUUAGUCUGAUAUAAGCCUACUACUAUAAAUAUGAGUACUGUAAGUAUGUUGAUAUGUGUUCAAUAAUAAAAAUACUUCUUUUGAAUAUCAUAACACGUUCUUCUUUUCCUUCCCCACAUUCCUUUCGAUGCUUAUUUGAAGCUCCUUUUCAUAUUCAAUUUCCUCUUUCUUAAGUUUAGGAAGAUUGGCUUUGAGCACAUGGGCAUCUGACUGUUAAGGGAUAAAAUGUUGUUUUAAAUUUUAGUAUUUUUUGUUGCGCUUUAAUUUAAAACGUUGAGUUUUAUUUUACUUUAGUUAAACGGGGAGUUUUGGUGAAGGAAGUAAAAAUGACGUAUUUUUUCAUAAGGGUUGUUGUAACCGUUUUAAUGAAACAAUGAGCUUAGAGGGACAACUUUCCAUAAUUGAAUUGACAACUUUGUACCAUGCUCCUCUCUCUUUCUCUGAGUCGUUAUAUUUUCAAAAUGAGCAAUGAAAAGCAUGCAUAAUAUGAUUUUGGACUGAAGUUUUGCCCUAUUUUCUCUUCUCUAAACUAUUCUCUGUUUCAUUCUCUCUUUCUUCGAUACAACUAGGAUUCUAUCUCGUAACAAGGUAUCAGAGCUUGACGACCUCAUGAACAGGGAUGAGAUUACCACACAUUUGCAAAAGGAUGUUACUAGUAUUCAACAUGAUAUGCUCAAGCCUCAAACAGAGGUUUCUCAAUGGGAUAAUCGUUUGGAAAAUCGACUGACAAAGUUUAAAGAAGAGUUGCGAGGAGAGUUCAAGUCAGAGGUUCAACCCUUAUUUGAACAGUAUUUAGGUGCACUCGUGAGUUUUUUGGGAGCUAGUUAUUUAGCAGAUAAGGGGAAAUGGGUUUUGGGAGGAGUUCCACCAGAUUUUCCUCCUAAGGAGUCAAUGACCAUACCUCUUCUCGUGGACGCAGGUGACUUCAUUGGACCCUAGAGAAUAGGUGUGAUGGAUACAGUAGCUAGACCCUACAAAUUGGAGUGUCCAUGGCUCGACAGCACAGAUUUCAGGGGAUAGUAGGCUAAAAUGGAACAAUAUUUCGAAACAGAUGAGAUUCCACCGAACACUCGUGUCACAACAGUGAUGCUUCACCUAGAAGGUAAGGCUCUUGACUAGCAUCAUUUUUUUGCCAAAGACAGGGUGGGUUUCAUAUGCUUACUUGGGAAUCCUAUGCACAAAACUUGAAGGAAAGGUUUGGAUUUGGUGUUUAUCAGAACCCGAUGACAGAUUUGGUAACUUUAAGACAAGUAGGGACUAUAGAUCAAUACCAUGAUGCCUUCAUUAUCCUGUUAAAUCAACUUUAAUUACCCUAACAGUAUGCACUAAGCAUUUUUAUAAGUAACCUUAAGGUAGAAAUCAGCUAAUACCUGUAACUUUUUAAACCUAAAUGUAUAGUGGAAUGAUUUUUUAUUGCAAGGCAAGUCGAGAAUAUUCUUAGCAGCCCCACGAAGAAGAGAUUAUUGUCUGGAUAGAACACAUCUUCUAAAGCUGUCCUGUUACCAGUUUCAGGAUCCAACUUCUCUAAGGGACCUGUUAUUGUUAGUUUAGCAACUCAUUAUAGUGGUUGUACAGCCCAGUUAUUGCCCGGGCCCAAUUAGUAGAGCCCAAACGGCCCAAUAAGCCCAACAGGCCCAGAACCCAGUCAGACUAGGGUUUCAGAAAAUGGAAACCCUAGCCAAGCCUAGUGUCGCGCCCAUCCCUCUGCUAUCACCGCUCGCCUUGUCCCAUCGCCACCCACCGCUACUAGCUUCAUCAACACCUGCAAGAACGACAGGAAAGAAAGCAGGAGCACGCAAUAGAUAGUGCAGGACAGCAAAAUACAAUCAAAUACAAUGUAAAUUGGCUAUAAAAGCCAAACAAUAUCUCUUUACUUUUUUUUUAUUUUACAGCGUUUUGAAUUCAAAAAAGGAAAAACAGAUAAAAAAGGUUGACUCCAGUUUAUUCUUCUCUGUCCUUGUGUUCUUAUUUACUUUAAUUUUUAUUUAUUGUUUAUUUUUUUCUGCAAUUGUUCAACAAAGAAAACAGAAUUGAAAAGGAAAGGAGUAAAUACCUUACCGCUUUGACGAGCUGGUGUCGGAACCCCGCCUUUGCCGUCAUCGGAGUCGAGCAAAAAGGGGCGUUUCAUCCCUUUUCCUUUUGGUCUCACGGUUGAGAAGGCUUAGCCUUCAGGGAUGCCGCAAAAGGGGAGGCCUAGGGGCCGUUCUCGCGCAACCCCGGCCAUUGGCCAUGGGGGCAGAGAUGGUGGCCUGAGCUUAAGGGGCCGAGAGAGGCGCAGGGAGGAGAGCAUUCGGGCUCUCUGUUUCCUUUUUAUGUUUCUUUCAUUUUUGCUUUUUUGUUUUGUUUAAAAAAAUGAAGUGGAGGCUAUCAGAUUAGGUUUUUUUGGUCCUUAUGUGAUGUCUGAAACGAUGCCGUUUGGAGUCUGAUCAGUGGCUCCAAAACGGCGCCGUAUUGAGCUCGACCCGCGCGUCGACCCGAUGGACCCCAAGGAUCCGCAUGUUUUGGACUGAGGGUCUAUUUACCCUUUCAGUCCUGCUGCUUCUGUGCUUCCCUCCAAUCUGGUCCCUGCUUUAGUUUUUUCUUUUUUACUUUUCUCCCCUGGGAUUUUGCUUUGCUUUUUAAUUUAGUCCCUUUUUUUAUUGUUUUUUUAUUUUUUGAAAGUAAUUAGUUUUAUUACCAUUAUUAUUAUUAUCAUUAUUGCUUUUAUUUUUAUUAUUUGCCUUUAUUGUUUACUCAUUUACACUGUUUUUAGAUUAUGUUAUAUGUGUACAUACCUAUAUACAUACUUACACUUUAAUACAUUCUAUAGUUUAUAUAUAUACAUUCAUAUUUUUAUAGUAUGUGUACACAUAUAACUUUCCAAGUUUACUUACAUAUGUAUAUCUACUUAGAUAUAUAUUAUUUGUACUUUAUACUUUAACAUACGAAUACACAUAUUUUAUUUUUAUGAAUAUAUAUACAUAUUUACCUUUUAUUAUUUUAUGUAUAUAGCUGCAUGUCUAUAUAUAUAUAUAUAUAUAUAUAUAUAUAUAUAUAUAUAUAUUUUUUUUUUUAAUUUUCAUAAAUAUAUACUUAUAUACUUUAUAUCUUAUUUAUUUAUAUAUCCUUGUAUACAUAUACUUUUAUAUACUUUAUAAUGCAUACAUGCACAUAAUAUAUAUGUACGUUUUUAUUUUUAUAAAAAAAAUAUAUACAUAUACCUACCUUUAUAUUUUAUAUAUUUCAUAACUUUAUACAUAUACAUAAAUGUACACAUACAUAUUUACAUAUAUUUUCACGUACAUAGAUUUUUUACAUUUUCAUAAUUUUAUGCACACACAUAUAUCUUUUUACUUUUUUUAUUCUUAUUCAUUUAUUUAUUUAUUUCAUUUUCAUUAUUGAUUUGAAUGAAUGCUUUAAUUUUAUUUGCUUGUAUACAUUGCUAUUUCGUAUGUUAUUGAUUCAUACUUUGUAUUUAUCUUAUUUACGUUGCAAUUGUUCGUAUUAUUUUGCACUAUUGUAUUCAAUAUCGUCUUGUUAUGAGUAUUAACAUCGUGUUUUAUUAUUUCAUGUUAGAUUAAUUCAUUUCAAUGCAUAAAUUACGAUAUUUGAAUAAGCAAAAUCUCGUGUUUAGAUUUGAGAAUGUCGUACCCUAACUUAUUGGGUCUCGAUUUUCACAAUAAAUCUAAAUACACGAAUCUUUUCAAACUCAAGUUUUAAAUGAUCUCGGGAUUAAAAAAAGAAUCGCAUCCUAACUUACUGGUUGUGAUCUCGCUUUCAAAUCCGAGAUAGCUAAAAAUACUUUUUAAAUAAGCAUUUUUUUUGUAUUGGGAAUUCGAGAUAUUGUGUCCUAACUUACUGGAUACGAUUCUCUUUCUCGAUUAACGUAAAAUAUGCUUCUUUUCCCAAAAUUUUUAAUGUUUAAUACAAGGGAUCGUAUUUUUUAAAAUUUUUCAAAGUUUUCAAUUCUCGACAUCAAGACAUUAAUUAAUCUACUAGGUACCAAUUUUUGGGCGUUACGAGGGUGCUAAUCCUUCCUCGUACGUAACCGACUCCCGAACUCAUUUUUCUAAAUUUCGUAGACCAAAACCGUUGUUUUUAUAAAAUUAAGUUAUUUAUUAAAAACAACCAUUUUUCGAGGUGGCCCGAUCACACCUCACCAAAAAAUGAUUGGUGGUGGCUCCCGUUUUUGUUUUCAUUUUUCAAAACCCAAGACGACCCCGUUUUUCAUCCAAAAAAUGGUGUCAACAGUGGUUUUGGUGGGUUAGGGGCCAAGUCAGCAAUUGCUAAUUCAGGAACUUAGAACAACAAUUUUGGAGGAUCAAGGAACCAUCAUAGAGGGCCUCCUAGAUCCCUCUCUUCAACUGAAACCCAAGAUAGGAAAAAGAAUUAUCUUUGCUUUUGGUGUAAUGCUAAGUAUAAUGUGGGACAUAAGUGCAUUAAGUUCCAGCUUUAUUAGUUAAUGUUGGAUCCAUGCACAGAGGAAAUAGAGGAAGAGUGUAGCUUGAACCAAGAAGAGGUCAUCAGGUCUGAGGAAACACCAGUUGAUAACGUUGUACCCACCGAGCCGGUAUUAUCCUUCCAUGCACUUCAGGGUUUGUGAGGUGUCCAAACUAUGAUGGUGGCUACCAAUGUUGAGAACACCAAGGUUAUUCUCCUUGUUGAUUUAGGAAGCGCCUAUAAUUUUAUAAGUGCUAAACUUGUAAGUAAGUUGGCUCUACUGAUUUCUCUUAAGGAUAAAUUGAAGGUAACUAUUGCUAAUGGGGUUAUCUUGUCAACCAGUGAGGUUUGUAAUGAAUUAUUGUGGUUUACAUUUACUGCUAGCUUCCAGACCGAUUUCCUAGUAGUACCAUUAGGGGGUUGUGAUUUAGUCUUAGGGGUAUAAUGGCUCUAGACCUUGGGACCCAUCACUUGGGAAUUUAGUUCCCUGACAAUGAAAUUUAUUUACAAUGGUUAGCAGUGUUUAUUGGAAGGAAUACAACCAAGUCGCAUCUAGUUACUGGGAGACAAUCAAUCUACCAAAUGUUUGACUAUGUUGGGGAAAAGACAGGGCUUAUAUGCUAUGGUUAUCACAGACACGGUACAGGCUAGUUUGAUGGCAACUAAUGCUAGUUUCAACCAAGAGCUCUAGACUAUAUUGCAAACCUAUGAUGAUGUUUUUCAAGAACCAAAAUGUCUCCCACCUUCUCGGCUACAAGACCAUAAAAUACCCUUGAAAGAUGAAUCAGUUGUGGUUAAAAUAAGACCAUAUAGGUACCCUGCCAUUCAAAAAAUAGAAAUGGAAAGGUUGGUCCAUGAAAUGUUUCAAACAUGGAUCAUUAGGGACUCCAACAACUUCUUUGCAUCCCCUAUAGUCAUGGUUAAAAAAAAUGGAGGAUGGCGACUGUGUGUGGGUUAUUGACAAUUAAACCAGUUAACAAUUAAAGAUAAAUUUCCUAUUCCUGUAAUAGAAGAGCUCUUGAUGAACUUAGGUAGGCUAGGAUUUUUUCCAAGCUAGACUUUCAUUUCAGUUACCACCAAAUUCGAAUGUAGGAGCCUGACAUCCAUAAAAUAGCCUUUUUAAUGCACGAUGGACACUAUGAAUUUUUAGUCAUGCCUUUCAGCUUGAAAAAUGCCCCCUCCAUGUUCCAAGAUUUGAUGAAUUCAAUUUUUAAACCUCGACUAAGGAAUUUUGUACUUGUUUUCUUUGAUGACAUCAUUAUUUUUUCCUCUUCUUGGCAAGAUCAUUUGAGACAUCUCAUGAUAGUUUUUGAGGUUUUAAUAAACCAAUAGUUAUAUGCCAAAUAAAGUAAAUGUCAUUUUGGGGCUACUCGAAUUGAAUACUUGGGGCAUGUUAUAUCUCAAGGGAAGAUGGCAAUGGACCAAAACAAGGUUACUAGCAUUAUGAAUUGGCUGACUCCUCAGUGUGUUAAAGAACUCAGGAGGUUCCUUGGUCUUUCAGGGUAUUACUGAAGAUUCAUUAAAGACUAUGGCACGAUAGAAAGACCACUCACUGACUUGCUGGAGAAAGGGGAAUGGAAUUGGAUUCCACAAGUUGACAAUGCCUUCACCACUUUAAAAAUAACCCUUAGAUCUACUCCCGUCCUUGCCCUACCGAAUUUCCAGCUUGUUUUUUAUUUGGACACCGAUGUCAGUAACUCUGGAGUAGGAGCAGUUUUACAACAAGAAGGACACCUUAUAGCUUUAUUUAGCAAGGCCCUCGGAAUAAAGCACCAAUCCUUGUCGAUUUAUGAAAAGAAAAUGUUAGCGGCUCUUUUGGCAGUCAAAAAAUGGAAUCACUACUUGGUUGGUCGUUGUUUUUGCAUCUGAAUCGACCACCAAAGCUUGCAAUUCCUAGCUGACCAGCAGGUUGUUACUCAUUUUCAAAAGAAAUGGGUCUCCAAAAUGCUUGGUUACAACUUUCAUGUGUUAUACAGGAAGGGUAGCACCAACAUAGUAGCCGAUGCUCGUUUGAGACAGCGUAUGGGGGCUGAAGGAUAGUGUUUACAAUUGAAAGGUAGCUCGAUAAUAUCUAGCUUAUUAGCUUGGGUGCAAGAAGCUUGGAUACAUGACCCUCGUAUUAACAAUAUUUGUUUGGAGCUACAAGCCCAACCCCCCUCCCAUCCAAAGUACAAUUGGGAUGGUCGUUUUUUAAGAAGAAAUGGGAAACUUGUGAUUGGCAAGGAUCAAGAGCUUCAAAAAGCCCUAUUAUUUUUUAUUUUUAUGAGAGNNNNNNNNNNNNNNNNNNNNNNNNNNNNNNNNNNNNNNNNNNNNNNNNNNNNNNNNNNNNNNNNNNNNNNNNNNNNNNNNNNNNNNNGGUAGAGAAUGCCUUGUUUGCCAAUGGAACAAGUAUGAUACCUCUGCUCAUCCUGGGUUACUUCAACCACUCCCAAUUCCUACUCAUGCUUGGUCCAGAGUGAGCAUGGAUUUCAUCGAGGGAUUACCCCCUUCUAAGGGAAAGAAUUCCAUUCUCAUAAUAGUGGAUAGACUCAUUAAAUAUGCCCAUUUUGUAGGACUCUCUUAUCCCUUUACAUUUGUUACAAUAGCCCAAGCCUAUCUUGACCAUGUUUAUGAGCUCCACGGGAUAGCGCUAAAAUUUUAACAGUUCAUUUAGCUUUCUCGUCCAAAAAAUAAUAAAUUAAUUAAAUUUAAAAAAAUUAAGAUCAAAAUUUUAAAAAAUAAAUUUAUCUUUACGGAAAACAUAUAUUUUGUAAUUUGGUGAAUGGAAUGCGGCAUUCACACCCACUAUUGUCCAUAAUUUUCAGUGGGAACAAAAGCAUGGAAACAAUGAGAACAGACACCCUUUCUUUUUACAUUGAUUAAGACUCCCCUUUUCUUCUCUUUUAUCUUUCUUUAUUUUCUAUGAUUGAAGUGAGAAAAGAAUAGCAGAAAAAAGGCUAUGGAAAGAAACCUAUUGGAUGAAGACAACAAGUGAUUUUGAAAGUAGAAACGCGUAUUACAAAACAGAAAACAUCAUAUCAAUGAGAACAUACACCCAUUAUUUUUCGGAUUGAUUAAGACCUUCCCACAAGAAGUUUUGUCUGGAGGGGGCCUGGCACAAAAGAAGGUUGGGGUUAAACACUGAGACUUAACUCAGUUAAUUAAGAUUACAAUGCAAUCAUCCUUAAUAAUUCCUCCUCUAUUAAACAAAACACUGAGUCACUGAGACGAAGUAAUGAGUAGUAAGCCCAAACACCGCAACUUUUAUGUAGAUAGAUUGAAAAUCACUAAUUUCUAUUUCUCCUUCUUGGAUAGCAAAUGGAAAUUGCUGCAAUGAUUAACACACUUCCACAUAUAUAAUCUACCUUAACUUCUUCGCUACGCUAAACUAUUUCCAAUCUAUAAAUACAAGCACAUCCAUAGUGCUAUUGCCUAUAAGUACAUCCUCCUCAAUACCAAUUAUUCAUCACCUCAUCUACAUCUUAUAAUCCUUCUUUUUAAAUACUCGUCUUUAAAAACAAAAAUUGUGAAACAUGCAUAAUCCACUUUUUCUUGUGCUUACUGUAAUAUUCUCCAGCCUGGUGGUUCAGCCAGUAAUGGGAGCAAAGGGUUUCAGUGUGGAGCUUAUUCAUCGUGAUUCGCCAAUAUCUCCUUUCUAUAAUGCUUCUCUCACCUCAUCACAGAUCCUAAGAAAAAAUGCCCUCCAUUCCCUGGACCGUCUCAGACACUUCCAAUCCAUGAUUGAUCAAAGCGCCAUCCAAUCUGCAGUGACUCCAAAUGGGGGUAUUUAUCUGAUGAAACUCUCCUUUGGAACCCCGCCAGUUGACUACAUGGCCGUUGCAGACACUGGAAGCGACCUUAUAUGGAUACAAUGUGUUCCAUGUCUUCAACCUCAAUGUUAUCCACAAGGUUCUCCUCCUUUCGAUCCUCAAGCAUCUUCCACCUACAAAAAGAUUCCUUGCGAUUCCGAUAGUUGCCAAGCUCUUCCCCGGUAUCAGUGCUCCAACGACGUUAAUGACUGUCAAUACUCGUAUAGCUAUGGAGACAAGUCAUUUACGAAAGGAAUCCUCAGCACCGAUACCUUGACUUUUGACGACUCCAAUGGUCAAAAAACAGCUUUCCCAACAUCCAUUUUCGGUUGUGGGCACAACAAUCAAGGUAAAUUCAGAAGCCCAAGUUCUGGUCUUGUUGGCCUGGGAGGAGGGCCAUUGUCACUUGUUUCUCAAAUAAGCACUCAAAUUGAUAACAGAUUUUCCUACUGCUUGGUUCCUCGCUCUGCGAGUUCCAGUAGUAAACUGUUGUUCGGCCAAGAAGCAAUAAUUUCUCGUCCUGGGGCUGUUUCCACUCCAUUGGUAACCAAAACCCCUCAAACCUUCUACUACCUUAGUCUUGAAGGUGUUAGCAUUGGAGACAAGACCGCACAGGCAGGUUCGAGCCAAGGGAAUAUCAUAAUCGAUUCUGGAACAACACUCACAUACCUAGAAUCGAGUUUUUAUAGCAGCUUAGAGACUAUAGUGAAAGACGCCAUUGGAGUAGAUCCAGUGAAAGAUCCUUCAGGAACAUUUAGCUUGUGUUAUGGGGCAAAGACUAAUAUCAACGUCCCGGAAAUGGUGUUCCAUUU
RNAcentral lists this long non-coding RNA (15755 nucleotides) under Gossypium raimondii (Peruvian cotton). Its description in RNAcentral is "long non-coding RNA (GRAI_LNC010714)". The record is from RNAcentral. Lineage: Eukaryota; Viridiplantae; Streptophyta; Magnoliopsida; Malvales; Malvaceae.